UACGUAGGGCGCAAGCGUUGUCCGGAAUUAUUGGGCGUAAAGAGCUCGUAGGUGGUUUGUUACGUCUGCUGUGAAAACCUAGGGCUUAACCCUGGGCCUGCAGUGGAUACGGGCAGACUAGAGAUAGGUAGGGGAGACUGGAAUUCCUGGUGUAGCGGUGAAAUGCGCAGAUAUCAGGAGGAACACCGGUGGCGAAGGCGGGUCUCUGGGCCGAUACUGACGCUGAGGAGCGAAAGCGUGGGGAGCGAACAGG
RNAcentral lists this ribosomal RNA (253 nucleotides) under uncultured bacterium. Its description in RNAcentral is "partial 16S ribosomal RNA". It matches the Rfam family "Bacterial small subunit ribosomal RNA", at positions 524 to 776 of the family's 1533-position model. The record is from RNAcentral.